RNAcentral lists this ribosomal RNA (465 nucleotides) under uncultured bacterium. Its description in RNAcentral is "partial 16S ribosomal RNA". It matches the Rfam family "Bacterial small subunit ribosomal RNA", at positions 28 to 506 of the family's 1533-position model. The record is from RNAcentral.
GACGAACGCUGGCGGCGCGCCUAACACAUGCAAGUCGAACGAGCGAGAGAGAGCUUGCUUUCUCGAGCGAGUGGCGAACGGGUGAGUAACGCGUGAGGAACCUGCCUCAAAGAGGGGGACAACAGUUGGAAACGACUGCUAAUACCGCAUAAGCCCACGGGUCGGCAUCGACCAGAGGGAAAAGGAGCAAUCCGCUUUGAGAUGGCCUCGCGUCCGAUUAGCUAGUUGGUGAGGUAACGGCCCACCAAGGCAACGAUCGGUAGCCGGACUGAGAGGUUGAACGGCAACAUUGGGACUGAGACAAGGCCCAGACUCCUACGGGAGGCAGCAGUGGGGAAUAUUGCACAAUGGGGGAAACCCUGAUGCAGCGACGCCGCGUGGAGGAAGAAGGUCUUCGGAUUGUAAACUCCUGUUGUUGGGGAAGAUAAUGACGGUACCCAACAAGGAAGUGACGGCUAACUACGU